Molecule: ribosomal RNA, 1471 nt
Filed under: marine metagenome
Description: bacterial LSU rRNA
Rfam family: Bacterial large subunit ribosomal RNA
Source: RNAcentral
CUCGAAAGCUAUUUAGGUAGCGCCUCGUGUAUUACUGUUGGGGGUAGAGCACUGUUAUGGCUAGGGGGUCAUCCCGUCUUACCAAACCAUUGCAAACUCCGAAUACCAACAAGUAGAGCACGGGAGACACACUGCGGGUGCUAACGUCCGUAGUCGAGAGGGAAACAACCCAGACCGCCAGCUAAGGUCCCAAAAUUAUGACUAAGUGGAAAACGAAGUGGGAAGGCCUAGACAUCCAGGAGGUUGGCUUAGAAGCAGCCACCCUUUAAAGAAAGCGUAACAGCUCACUGGUUGAGUCGGCCUGCGCGGAAGAUUUACCGGGGCUAAGUCAUAUACCGAAGCUUUGGAUCCUAGUUUACUAGGAUGGUAGCGGAGCGUUCUGUAAGUUGAUGAAGGUGUAUCGUGAGGUAUGCUGGAGAUAUCAGAAGUGCGAAUGCUGACAUAAGUAACGAUAAUGUAGGUGAGAACCCUACACGCCGAAAACCCAAGGUUUUCUCCGCAACGUCAAUCGGCGGAGAGUUAGUCGGUACCUAAGGCGAGGCCGAAAGGCGUAGUCGAUGGAAAACAGGUUAAUAUUCCUGUACCGCUUUUAACUGCGAUGGAGAGACGGAGAAGGUUAGAUCAGCCAGUCAACGGUUAUACUGGUGUAAGUAUGUAGAGAUUACUCUUAGGAAAAUCCGGGAGUAUUUAUUUCGAGAUACGAAUGCGAAGCUUUUUCUUCGGAAUUAGCGAAGUGGUCGAUACCAUGCUUCCAAGAAAAUCUUCUAAGCUUCAGGUUAAAAGUGGCCGUACCCUAAACGGACACACGUGGGUGGGAUGAGAAUUCUAAGGCGCAUGAGAGAACUCAGUUGAAGGAACUAGGCAAAAUGAUACCGUAACUUCGGGAGAAGGUAUGCCUUUGGUAUGUGAAGUCACUUGCUGACUGAGCAGAAGGAGGUUGCAAUAAAAUGAUGGCUGCGACUGUUUACUAAAAACACAGCACUCUGCAAACUUGAAAGAGGAAGUAUAGGGUGUGACGCCUGCCCGGUGCCGGAAGGUUAAUUGAUGGGGUUAGCUUGCUUGCAAGCGAAGCUCUUGAUCGAAGCCCCGGUGAACGGCGGCCGUAACUAUAACGGUCCUAAGGUAGCGAAAUUCCUUGUCGGGUAAGUUCCGACCUGCACGAAUGGCGUAACGAUGGCCAUACUGUCUCCAACCGAGACUCAGUGAAAUUGAAAUUGCUGUGAAGAUGCAGUGUACGCGCGGCUAGACGGAAAGACCCCGUGCACCUUUACUACAGCUUUACACUGAACUUUGAAUCUAAUUGUGUAGGAUAGCUGGGAGCCUUUGAAGCUGAUGCGCUAGCAUUGGUGGAGGCAACCUUGAAAUACCAGCCUAUUAUCUUUGGAGUUCUAACCCAGGACCGUUAUCCGGUUCGGAGACAGUGUAUGGUGGGUAGUUUGACUGGGGCGGUCUCCUCCUAAAGAGUAACGGA